Molecule: ribosomal RNA, 508 nt
Filed under: uncultured bacterium
Lineage: Bacteria
Description: bacterial SSU rRNA
Rfam family: Bacterial small subunit ribosomal RNA
Source: RNAcentral
GAUCCUGGCUUAGGAUGAACGCUAGCGGCAGGCUUAACACAUGCAAGUCGAGGGGCAUCGGGAGUAGCAAUACUUGCCGGCGACCGGCGCAAGGGUGCGUAACGCGUGAGCAACAUGCCCGUAUCAGGGGGAUAAUCCAUGGAAACGUGGUCUAAUACCCCAUAGUAAUUAUGUAAGGCAUCUUAUAUAAUUUAAAGCUUUGGUGGAUACGGAUUGGCUCGCGUGACAUUAGCUGGAUGGUAAGGUAACGGCUUACCAUGGCUACGAUGUCUAGGGGUUCUGAGAGGAAGGUCCCCCACACUGGAACUGAGACACGGUCCAGACUCCUACGGGAGGCAGCAGUGAGGAAUAUUGGACAAUGGAUGGAAAUCUGAUCCAGCCAUGCCGCGUGCAGGAAGACGGCCCUAUGGGUUGUAAACUGCUUUUGUAUGGGAGCAAUAAGGGCUACGUGUAGUCCGAUGAGAGUACCAUACGAAUAAGCACCGGCUAACUCCGUGCCAGCCGCCGC